GUUCCUGCUAUAAGAUCCAAAGAUGUGACCUUCCAGUUGUGUAAAGCUCUUAAAGGCUGUCUAAGUGUAUCAAGUGUGCUGAGGAACCUGGAGUUAAAUGGACUAGUUCUGAGAGAGAGGGAUUUAAUUAUUUUAACAAAGGGAUUGAAUAAAUCGACUUCUUUGGUGCACCUGUCUCUUGCAAACUGUCCAAUUGGAGAUGGAGGUUUAGAAAUUAUUUGUCAAGCUGUAAAGACCUCUAUCACUCUUAAGACAGUCAACUUCACUGGGUGUAGUCUGACAUGGCAGGGAGCAGAUCACAUGGCCAAGAUCUUAAAGGUGACUUUGUAUUCAGAAGUUUGUGAAAAUGUGUUAUGUAUUUGAAGCACAGUAAUACUUUGGUAUGAGAUGGCAAUUAUUUUUAUCUUUUCAUUCAUAUGGUGAUUGUAAUUAUAUUUCUAAUGAAAGAAUGUGACCUGUGUUUAGCUUGGGGUUCUACCAUUUAGUAAGAUAUGUACUUAAUCUUAGAUGAGAUUUUAAAGUAUAAUGCAUUAUGAAUUAUACAUUUGUGUACCUUUAGUUAUUGAAAAUAUGUUUUGGGCACUGAAAGAAAUUUUGUGCAUUACAGUCUUCAUAUUACUUCAGUGACUCAAAUAUUAACUGCUAUUAUAUAUGAACCAAUAAAAAUCAUAGUUUUUAA
RNAcentral lists this long non-coding RNA (679 nucleotides) under Ictidomys tridecemlineatus (thirteen-lined ground squirrel). Its description in RNAcentral is "lncRNA (ENSSTOG00000033770.1)". The record is from RNAcentral. Lineage: Eukaryota; Metazoa; Chordata; Mammalia; Rodentia; Sciuridae.